Long non-coding RNA from Dermacentor andersoni, 520 nucleotides. RefSeq lists it as uncharacterized. NCBI's taxonomy places the organism in Eukaryota, Metazoa, Arthropoda, Arachnida, Ixodida, Ixodidae. The record is from RefSeq and is a predicted model, not a curated record.
UGUCCGAGCCAGCUGCGCGCUUUCCUGCGGUCAUGAUUACGUCGCGCCUGCAUGCGUUGUUUCGGUGCACGUUGUGCGUCAUUUUCUCUGUGCUCACGUACAGUGCAAGUGCGUCUGUUAAACGUGCAGUAUUGUGACCAUCUGAUACGCGUGCUCCGUGGCCACGCCUCAAAAGCUAUGGCGACAAGUCACACCAGCCCGUGCGUUGUCUCUUCAAGGACAAAAGCACCGCCAUGAACAGGUACAUCGAAUAGUGCGAAACGACCUCGAAGUCACCAGCUUCACGGUGCGGGUCGCACCUCACAAAUUUUAUUUUUUCGAACGAGAAUGGAAAUUCUAUCCCAUUGGUUGACAUCUUCUGGGAAGUAAGCAUGGCUGCACUUCGCCAGAGAACACUCUGGUGUGAGCGGCUGUAACGGGCAGUGAACAAAAGCGCCGGGAUGAAGCGACCAAAACACCUUCACCCAUGGAUACGGGAACUCUCAAACUGGAGUGUAACGCCGUCCCCCCCCCCCCCCCC